GACCUCAAAUCAGGUAGGACUACCCGCUGAACUUAAGCAUAUCAAUAAGCGGAGGAAAAGAAACUAACAAGGAUUCCCCUAGUAAMUGCGAGUGAAGCGGGAAAAGCUCAAAUUUAAAAUCUGGCAGUCUUUCGGCUGUCCGAGUUGUAAUCUAGAGAAGUGUUAUCCGCGCUGGACCGUGUACAAGUCUCCUGGAAUGGAGCGUCAUAGAGGGUGAGAAUCCCGUCUUUGACACGGACUGCCAGGGCUUUGUGAUGCGCUCUCAAAGAGUCGAGUUGUUUGGGAAUGCAGCUCAAAAUGGGUGGUAAAUUCCAUCUAAAGCUAAAUAUUGGCGAGAGACCGAUAGCGAACAAGUACCGUGAGGGAAAGAUGAAAAGAACUUUGGAAAGAGAGUUAAACAGUACGUGAAAUUGCUGAAAGGGAAACGCUUGAAGUCAGUCGCAUUGUCUGGUAAUCAACCUUGCUUUUGCUGGGUGUACUUUCCAGAUGAUGGUCAGCGAUCAAUUUUGACCGUUGGAUAAAGUCUAGAGGAAUGUGGCAUCUUCGGGUGUGUUAUAGCCUUUGGUCGCAUACAACGGUUGGGAUUGAGGAACUCAGCAUGCCGAAAGGCCGGGUACUUGUACCACGUUCAUGCUUAGGAUGCUGGCAUAAUGGCUUUAAUCGACCCGUCUUGAAACACGGACCAAGGAGUCUAACAUGCCUGCGAGUAUUUGGGUGGAAAACCCGAGUGCGUAAUGAAAGUGAAAGUUGAGAUCCUUGUCAUGGGGAGCAUCGACGCCCGGACCAGAACUUUUGUGACGGAUCUGCGGUAGAGCAUGUAUGUUGGGACCCGAAAGAUGGUGAACUAUGCCUGAAUAGGGUGAAGCCAGAGGAAACUCUGGUGGAGGCUCGUAGCGAUUCUGACGUGCAAAUCGAUCGUCAAAUUUGGGUAUAGGGGCGAAAGACUAAUCGAACCAUCUAGUAGCUGGUUCCU
RNAcentral lists this ribosomal RNA (973 nucleotides) under Hypholoma subericaeum. Its description in RNAcentral is "LSU rRNA". It matches the Rfam family "Eukaryotic large subunit ribosomal RNA", at positions 1 to 959 of the family's 3401-position model. The record is from RNAcentral. Lineage: Eukaryota; Fungi; Basidiomycota; Agaricomycetes; Agaricales; Strophariaceae.